Acanthosepion pharaonis is the source of this 110-nucleotide non-coding RNA. NCBI's taxonomy places the organism in Eukaryota, Metazoa, Mollusca, Cephalopoda, Sepiida, Sepiidae. The record is from the annotation of a GenBank genome assembly.
AUGGUCAAAUCAUGUUGAAACAUUAGUUUCCAUAUGAUCACCAAAGUUAAGCCAUCUCAAGCCUAGUUGGUACCUAGCUGGGUGACUGCUUGGGAAUUCUAGGUGCCAUA